GGGGAUAUAGCUCAAUGGGAGAGCGCAUGCUUUGCACGCAUGAUGUUGUCGGUUCGAUUCCGACUAUCUCCA
RNAcentral lists this transfer RNA (72 nucleotides) under Prasinococcus sp. CCMP1194. RNAcentral's name for it is "tRNA-Ala". It matches the Rfam family "tRNA". From Rfam's summary of the family: Transfer RNA (tRNA) molecules are approximately 80 nucleotides in length. Their secondary structure includes four short double-helical elements and three loops (D, anti-codon, and T loops). Further hydrogen bonds mediate the characteristic L-shaped molecular structure. tRNAs have two regions of fundamental functional importance: the anti-codon, which is responsible for specific mRNA codon recognition, and the 3' end, to which the tRNAs corresponding amino acid is attached (by aminoacyl-tRNA synthetases). tRNAs cope with the degeneracy of the genetic code in two manners: having more than one tRNA (with a specific anti-codon) for a particular amino acid; and 'wobble' base-pairing, i.e. permitting non-standard base-pairing at the 3rd anti-codon position. The record is from RNAcentral. Lineage: Eukaryota; Viridiplantae; Prasinodermophyta; Palmophyllophyceae; Prasinococcales; Prasinococcaceae.